GACCCAUCCAAUAAACGAUUACCCCAACACUCUACUCAUCGCCAAUUUCCUCAUCAGCGACUUCAUGUUUCGAAUCGGUGUUUACUGAUUUCCUCAUGUUCGAUUUCGAUUCCAACAGGUUAUGAAUCGUGUCUUUCUGAUUUCAUCAUCAGUGAUUUUGCAGUCGUGUUUUACUGAUUUCAUCAUCAGUAAUUCCAACUUUUCCUGAUUACUAAAUAUCACAGAUUAUGGGAUUUAGGUGUGUGAAAUCUCUUGUGUCUGUGACAGCGGUCAUGUUUUUUCUAGUAUUAUAACUUCUGUCACGUAAAUUGUGUUUAUCUUCAUUCUUGGGUUACUUUAUUUCACUAAUUACAAAAUCAUUAGCGUUUGGCAGUCUAAAUUCGUCACGUGGGUUGCACUCAUGUGAUUGAGGAGGGUUCUACGUUCUGCCUCGUUCUAACAAUUGUGGAGUUCCCUUUCUUGAUGCAUUGUUUGUUCAUUGGAGAAUUUGAUCUUUUUACUCUAUGCAAAGGUCUAAUUUCAGAACAAUCUUUGACUAUUUUGCCCUAGGUUAUGGUGUUGCUACACUAUUCAUUGGGAUGAUAUAGAAACCUUUUGGUUGCUACUGCUUAAUCAACUAAGCCUUCAGAGACACUUGGGUUGUUGAAGUAAUAAAGGAUUUCUAGACAUGCAUUUCAUAAAUGUAAACUUCGUUCUAUUUUAUUUGAUAGAUUAUGUACCUACAUUGAAAUGGUCAGCAGUAGAGGCAGAUGAAGCAUAAAUUAUGGAAAUAACCCCGUUUAAAAAAGACUAGUAAUGGUUUUUUAUGUUUAGGAUUACAGAGGAGGGACAAGAAGUGUAAUUUUAACUUCACACUGCUAAAUCACGUUACAUUAUAUCAAUAAUAUUUUGGUUAAAUGCAAAAAGUGGCAACGUACUUCCA
Lactuca sativa (garden lettuce) is the source of this 922-nucleotide long non-coding RNA. RefSeq lists it as uncharacterized. NCBI's taxonomy places the organism in Eukaryota, Viridiplantae, Streptophyta, Magnoliopsida, Asterales, Asteraceae. The record is from RefSeq and is a predicted model, not a curated record.